This 496-nucleotide ribosomal RNA is filed under the name uncultured bacterium. RNAcentral's name for it is "SSU rRNA". It matches the Rfam family "Bacterial small subunit ribosomal RNA", at positions 26 to 521 of the family's 1533-position model. The record is from RNAcentral.
AGGACGAACGCUGGCGGCGUGCUUAACACAUGCAAGUGGAGCGACGAACCAGGGCUUGCCCUGGGGCAGAGCCGCGAACGGGUGAGUAACACGUGGGUUACCUGCCUCGAUGACCGGGACAACCCGAGGAAAACUCGGGCUAAUACCGGAUGUGCCCGCAAGGGGAAAGGAAGCUUCGGCCUCCGCAUCGAGAUGGGCCCGCGGCCCAUUAGCUUGUUGGUGAGGUAACGGCUCACCAAGGCUUCGAUGGGUAGCUGGUCUGAGAGGACGAUCAGCCACACUGGGACUGAGACACGGCCCAGACUCCUACGGGAGGCAGCAGUGGGGAAUCUUGCGCAAUGCGCGAAAGCGUGACGCAGCAACGCCGCGUGGGGGAAGAAGGCUUUCGGGUUGUAAACCCCUUUCAGUUGGGACGAAGCUUCUUUGGUGAAUAGCCAAACGGAGUGACGGUACCUUCAUAAGAAGCACGGCUAACUACGUGCCAGCAGCCGACGGU